GGCAAAAUGAGAGUCCAACUGUCUCUUACAGCAAAUCAAUUAAACUGAUCUCCCAGUACAAAAGCUGGAAUCCCAACAUAAGACCAGAAGACCCUGUGAAGCUUUAACUAACCUAUUAAACCCAAUAAUAGCCAGUUUCGGUUGGGGCGACCUUGGAAUAAAAAAGAACUUCCAAAUACAUGACUAACCAUGUCUCUAGGCAGACAAGCCAUAAUUGACCCCGUAUACCUGAUAGACGGACCAAGUUACUCCAGGGAUAACAGCGCUAUCUUCUUCAAGAGCCCAUAUCAAAAAGAAGGUUUACGACCUCGAUGUUGGAUCAGGACAUCCUAGUAAUGCAACCGCUACUAAGGGUUCGUUUGUUCAACGAUUAAUAGUGCUACGUGA
This 387-nucleotide ribosomal RNA is filed under the name Bitis caudalis (horned viper). RNAcentral's name for it is "partial 16S ribosomal RNA". It matches the Rfam family "Bacterial large subunit ribosomal RNA", at positions 1998 to 2603 of the family's 2925-position model. The record is from RNAcentral. Lineage: Eukaryota; Metazoa; Chordata; Lepidosauria; Squamata; Viperidae.